GUGAGGAAUUUUCCGCAAUGGGCGAAAGCCUGACGGAGCAAUGCCGCGUGAAGGAUGAAGGCCUAUGGGUUGUAAACUUCUUUUCUCAGAAAAGAAUUAUGACGGUAUCUGAGGAAUAAGCAUCGGCUAACUCUGUGCCAGCAGCCGCGGUAAGACAGAGGAUGCAAGCGUUAUCCGGAAUGAUUGGGCGUAAAGCGUCUGUAGGUUGUUUAAAAAGUAUUCUGUCAAAGAUUAGGGCUUAACCCUAGAUAGGCAGAAUAAACUUUUAAGCUAGAGUUUGGUAGAGGCAGAGGGAAUUCCUGGGGGAGCGGUGAAAUGCGUAGAUAUCGGGAGGAACACCAAAGGCGAAGGCACUCUGCUGGGCCAAUACUAACACUGAGAGACGAAAGCGAGGGGAGCAAAUGGGAUUAGAAACCCGGGUAGUCC
This 426-nucleotide ribosomal RNA is filed under the name uncultured bacterium. RNAcentral describes it as "bacterial SSU rRNA". It matches the Rfam family "Bacterial small subunit ribosomal RNA", at positions 354 to 796 of the family's 1533-position model. The record is from RNAcentral.